This 253-nucleotide ribosomal RNA is filed under the name uncultured bacterium. RNAcentral describes it as "partial 16S ribosomal RNA". It matches the Rfam family "Bacterial small subunit ribosomal RNA", at positions 524 to 776 of the family's 1533-position model. The record is from RNAcentral.
UACGGAGGAUGAGAGCGUUAUCCGGAUUUACUGGGUGUAAAGGGAGCGUAGACGGCACCGCAAGUCCGGAGUGAAAGCCCAAGGCUUAACCAUGGGACUGCUCUGGAAACUGGCUGGCUUGAGUUGGGGAAAGGCAGGCGGAAUGCGCGGUGUAGCGGUGAAAUGCAUAGAUAUCGCGCAGAACCCCGAUUGCGAAGGCAGCCUGCCGGCCCCACACUGACGCUGAAGCACGAAAGCGUGGGUAUCGAACAGG